Molecule: long non-coding RNA, 705 nt
Filed under: Macaca nemestrina (pig-tailed macaque)
Lineage: Eukaryota; Metazoa; Chordata; Mammalia; Primates; Cercopithecidae
Description: lncRNA (ENSMNEG00000045692.1)
Source: RNAcentral
GAGGGGCCCUGGGUUCUGUAGUGGGGCCCUGGGUUAUGUAGAGGGAUCCUGGGUUAAGAGCUGGCUUAUUAUCAGUGUCGUAUAUUAGAUUCCAGAGUAUAAUUCUGGAUUGAUAAAUAAGGUCUCCAUAGUUAAGAAACUUAGAAAAAACACUGAUUAAUCCAGUUGCUUUACCUUGUAAGGGAGAACAUGGAUGCAGAGAAGCUCAAUGGCUUCCUGAGUCAUGGGUUUGGUGUCUGGACAGGAUCCUUUGUGGUUUCAGGUGACAGAGGUGACUUCAGCUCCCAAUGUGGUCAGGCUCCACUUGGUGCCAGGGACGAGGGUGGAAGGCGCCUGUCUCAGAGGCUCAGACCCAGAGCUGAGACUUCCCCAAGCACAGGGCUUGCAAAUAUUGGACUCCCAGGAAGCCCCAGGAGUGGGGACACAGGGAGGAAGAUUGCUGUGGUCCUGGCGGCCCCUGCCGAUUUCCCAGCCUUGCUCUUUCCGUGGUCAGUUGUGGAUUGGAGUCAACCUGGGCGCCCGUCUGCUGGAGUCCACUGGGGCGGGCGUGGGUGGAGGGGGCCUUCUGCAGAGCUAGUGGGGUGUUGUGGGGGCCGGUGUGUGGGUGCUCGGCACACACCACCACGUGACAGGCGUGUCCGGCUCAUGCAGAUGGGACUCUGGGGAAUCAUGGUUGUAGAGAUGAUCACCUCAAAGGCUUGACUU